GAUGAACGCUGGCGGCGUGCCUAACACAUGCAAGUCGAACGGAGUUAUUAUUAUGAAGUUUUCGGAUGGAUUAAUAAUAACUUAGUGGCGGACGGGUGAGUAACGCGUGGGCAACCUGCCUCAUACAGGGGGAUAACAGUUGGAAACGACUGCUAAAACCGCAUAACAUUGCGACACCGCAUGGUGAUGCAAAUUAAAUAUUUAUAGGGUAUGAGAUGGGGCCCGCGUCUGAUUAGCUAGUUGGUGAGGUAAUGGCUCACCAAGGCGACGAUCAGUAGCCGGCUUGAGAGAGUGAUCGGCCACAUUGGGACUGAGACACGGCCCAAACUCCUACGGGUGGCAG
This 343-nucleotide ribosomal RNA is filed under the name uncultured Bacillota bacterium. Its description in RNAcentral is "bacterial SSU rRNA". It matches the Rfam family "Bacterial small subunit ribosomal RNA", at positions 28 to 351 of the family's 1533-position model. The record is from RNAcentral. Lineage: Bacteria; Bacillati; Bacillota.